GCGGGCGGCGCCUCCUUCUCCUCGCCUUUGCGUCGCCUCGUGGAUACCGGAGAAUUCAAAGUCCCAGAGAAUUUCCGUGUUCCUGGAAAGCCAUUGUUGUUUCUCGAGCUUGCGAAUCUGAUGAAUAGAAAAAAGUUCAUGUGGAUUCGGAAUUUCACGGCUCAUUCCGAAUGUGUUGCACCGAGUGAUGGAGGAUGUCCCUUGUCCAAUUCACCAACUAUAAUCUACUUGAACUGGACAUGUUCAUGAAGUGGACUUCGCUGCUGGAGAUAGCACGAUACCAAGCCCUCUGUUAUUGUAAUGGAUGCUUUAAAAUGAAUCAAGCACUGAGUGUUUGUGUUUCUGCUCUUUCAUCAGAUAUCCAUCUGGUAUUGUUGAUUUGUUGUUCUUGCAGAUUCUUAUUUGGACCAGUGUUGUCAAAUGGCGGCCAUGGCCCCGCCAUGGCGGGAUGGCCUGGCGGAUUUCAAGGUAGACGCCAUGGUAUUUGUAUAGCGUGGCGUGUAUGGCGUUUUCGCCAUUGCGUGCGCCACAUGGGGUUUUCCAUUGUGGGUUAUGGCGGCCAUAGCCCCGCCAUGGCGGAAUUGCGUAUUAAAAGGGAAAGUAAAGUCCAGAAAAAAAAAAAGGAAAACACAAAAAUGGGAGAUAUCGAAGCGUCGGUCGAAUAGUUUAAGAUUUUGGAAAUAGAAAAA
Molecule: long non-coding RNA, 689 nt
Organism: Tarenaya hassleriana
Lineage: Eukaryota; Viridiplantae; Streptophyta; Magnoliopsida; Brassicales; Cleomaceae
Exons: 2
Source: RefSeq, a predicted model, not a curated record